GUGCCAGCAGCCGCGGUAAUACGGAGGAUGCAAGCGUUAUCCGGAUUUAUUGGGUUUAAAGGGUGCGCAGGCGGAUUGGUAAGUCAGUGGUGAAAUCCUACAGCUCAACUGUAGAACUGCCAUUGAUACUAUCAGUCUUGAGUACAUUUGAAGUGGGCGGAAUGUGUCAUGUAGCGGUGAAAUGCUUAGAGAUGACACAGAACACCGAUAGCGAAGGCAGCUCACUAAACUGUUACUGACGCUGAGGCACGAAAGCGUGGGGAUCAAACAGGAUUAGAUACCCUGGUAGUCCACGCUGUAAACGAUGAUUACUCGAUGUGUGCGAUACACAGUACGCGUCUAAGGGAAACCGAUAAGUAAUCCACCUGGGGAGUACGUUCGCAAGAAUGAAACUCAAAGGAAUUGACGGGGGCCCGCACAAGCGGAGGAGCAUGUGGUUUAAUUCGAUGAUACGCGAGGAACCUUACCUAGGCUUAAAUGACAGUUGACGGUUGCGGAAACGUAACUUCUCCACA
Molecule: ribosomal RNA, 515 nt
Filed under: uncultured Bacteroidota bacterium
Lineage: Bacteria; Pseudomonadati; Bacteroidota
Description: bacterial SSU rRNA
Rfam family: Bacterial small subunit ribosomal RNA
Source: RNAcentral